RNAcentral lists this ribosomal RNA (481 nucleotides) under uncultured bacterium. RNAcentral describes it as "partial 16S ribosomal RNA". It matches the Rfam family "Bacterial small subunit ribosomal RNA", at positions 30 to 507 of the family's 1533-position model. The record is from RNAcentral.
AUUGAACGCUGGCGGCAUGAUUUACACAUGCAAGUCGAACGGUAACAGGCCGCAAGGUGCUGACGAGUGGCGAACGGGUGAGUAAUGCAUCGGAACGUGCCCAGUCGUGGGGGAUAACUACUCGAAAGAGUAGCUAAUACCGCAUACGAUCUAUGGAUGAAAGCGGGGGACCGUAGGGCCUCGCGCGAUUGGAGCGGCCGAUGUCAGAUAGGUAGUUGGUGGGGUAAAGGCUCACCAAGCCAACGAUCUGUAGCUGGCCUGAGAGGACGACCAGCCACACUGGGACUGAGACACGGCCCAGACUCCUACGGGAGGCAGCAGUGGGGAAUUUUGGACAAUGGGCGCAAGCCUGAUCCAGCAAUGCCGCGUGCAGGAAGAAGGCCUUCGGGUUGUAAACUGCUUUUGUACGGAACGAAACGGCUCUGGUUAAUACCCGGGGCUAAUGACGGUACCGUAAGAAUAAGCACCGGCUAACUACGUG